ACACCCUCAAGCGCAGCUUGGUGUUGGGCGUCUGUCCCGCUCUCCGUAGCGCGGACUCGCCUCAAAGUCAUUGGCGGCGGUCGUGCCGGCUCCUCGCGCAGCACAUUUGCGCUUCUCGGAGGCCCGGCGGAUCAGCAUCCAGCAAGCUACUUUUUAUG
RNAcentral lists this unclassified non-coding RNA (158 nucleotides) under uncultured Periconia. Its description in RNAcentral is "sequence contains ITS2". Lineage: Eukaryota; Fungi; Ascomycota; Sordariomycetes; Microascales; Halosphaeriaceae. The record is from RNAcentral.